This 969-nucleotide ribosomal RNA is filed under the name Triticum aestivum (bread wheat). RNAcentral's name for it is "partial small subunit ribosomal RNA". Lineage: Eukaryota; Viridiplantae; Streptophyta; Magnoliopsida; Poales; Poaceae. The record is from RNAcentral.
AUGUCCACCUCUCCCAACACCUCCGCGUCCACCGCAUCGACAACCAUUAGCUCCCAGCUUUCCGCCACUGCCGGUGCUCUCACCAAUUCCUCCGUCUCAGUUGGGUCGAUGAUGACCGGGCAGGUCGGCGUGCCCAACCUCGCCCAGCUGGUGACGGUGAGACUCUCAAGGGAAAAUCACCUCCUCUGGAAGGCCCAGAUUGUUCCCAUCCUGCGGGGGCAUCAGCUUCUCGGCUUCGUCAACGGCGAGAGCACCCCCCCGGCGCGCCUCAUUCCCGCCUCCACCGCUGAAGGGGCGGAGAUGGUGAUCAACCCAGCCCAUACGGUCUGGCACGCCCAGGACCAGCUGCUCCUUGCCGGGAUCCUCUCCACGCUCUCACCCGACAUCAUCGCGCGCACGCUGAACUUCACGACAUCGGCGCAGAUAUGGGCGGCACUCGAGCGCAUGUACGCCUCGCAGUCUCGCUCCAGGAUCAUGCAGCUUAAGAGGCAGCUUACGCACGCCCAGAAAAAGGACAUGAACAUGGCUGAUUAUUUUGGCCAUGUCAAGGGUCUCGCUGACCAGCUUGCUGCGGCCGGCAGCCUCGUCUCCGAGACUGAUGUGAUCGACUACAUGUUCACAGGCCUUGAUAACUCGUACGACGCCCUCGUCACAUCGAUCAAUCUGCUGCUGGCCAACGGUGGCAUCUCUCUCGAUGAAGUGUACUCGCACAUGCUGGAUUACGAGGCGCGUCAAGACAAUGCCAACACCGGCUAUCAGUUGUCAGCCAAUCUUGCGGGACGAGGCAACGGCGCUCGAGGCGGCGGCAACGGUGGAGGUGGCUCCUCUGGCGGCAGCGGUGGCCGCAAUCGCAACAAUGAUGGCCGGAACCAGCAGGGAGGCAACCGUCGCAACGGCGGCAACAGCGGCGGCGGCGGUAACUCUGCUGCAGGCAACGGCUCCAAUGGCCAACCAGCCGGCGGUCACUAA